Long non-coding RNA from Apodemus sylvaticus (European woodmouse), 947 nucleotides. RefSeq lists it as uncharacterized. The transcript is spliced from 3 exons. The record is from RefSeq and is a predicted model, not a curated record. Lineage: Eukaryota; Metazoa; Chordata; Mammalia; Rodentia; Muridae.
UUCUCAAAGCCACCCGAAAACAGAGGUGCCUCAAUCUGCUUUGUCUACAGAUUCAUCAGAGCCAGAGGAUGCUGUCUGGGAUGGUCCCCUCCACAAGCUCCAGUCAGAGAUGAUGCCAUUCAGAUGACUGACAGACAUGUGCUAUCCCAUGAAGCCUGCCACAUCUGGACGAAGGCAGUAAAACAUAGGUGACAGAUAAACGAGAAGUGAGUAGAAGAUCCAGACAGGGGCCCUUCUGGAAGGCUCCUACAACACCCAUUUGGCUUAUGCACCAUUUAGACUCAAGUGAGAAGAGAUAAAUCACUUUUUCUUUCCUGAUGUUGAAGCUCCUGAGGCCCCUCGGUUGCUCUAGAUGUUUCUGAGGUUACAGCAGGCCACAGCAUGUUCCAGCCUAGGCAGAGGAAAUAGAAAAACCAAUGAGAAAGUGACUCAAGACCCCCUGCUGCUUCUACAGCACCACACCUGGAAAUGGCAGUCUGCAGGCUUCGGGGUUGCACCAUUGCCAGGAAGCUGCCUCCUUUUCUCCCAACCAAAUGAGACAGGCAUCUGAGAUCCAUCCAGCAGAUGGGGAAUAAGAUCAGAAAGGCUCCGGGCAUAGUGAUCACACAGCAUUAAUAAAGUUCUGAGCUAGGACUCAGCCCCAGCAGCCUGACUUGAUUUAAGCUGUGAGUGGCACAUGACAGACCUCAGCGGUCCAUUAGGAGCUUUGUGGAUGUGAAAAGGGAACCUGGGAGCAGGUCAGGGUAGCCUUACAAGAACUUGGGGUUAUUGGAUUUGAGGGGGAUAAGUCAACAAUAUAGCUGAGUCUGUAAUUCAAAGCAGAUAAAGUCAGAGAGUUAGAGGCAGUUGCUGGAGAGAGAGACAGAGACUGAGACAGAGACAGAGGCAGAGGCAGAGGCAGAGAGAGCUCGAAGGAGAUGACUCAUAGUUAAAACACUUACCACUCA